Molecule: ribosomal RNA, 534 nt
Filed under: Triticum aestivum (bread wheat)
Lineage: Eukaryota; Viridiplantae; Streptophyta; Magnoliopsida; Poales; Poaceae
Description: partial small subunit ribosomal RNA
Source: RNAcentral
AUGCAGCGCAGCAUCACAACCUUGAUGGAAGGGGGCCAGGACAUGAAGGGAAAAGCUCCUGCCCAUAUCGAUUCAAGAGGAGAGGAGGGCCAUGGAGGGAGAAGCCUGCUGCUGCAAUACGUACCUUGUCGUCCUCAUGCAGGUGGGGUGUACUUGAGGUCUGGGAGAUCCAUGUUCUCCGGGCAACUGAAAAGAACUUUCAAGAUUGUUUUAAAGAAGGGCUAUUGGAAAAAGAUGUGUGAGAGUAUUAGUGACUCAUGUGUGGGCAUGCCGCACCUUUCAGGUAGCAGAUGCAGAGGGAGUAAUGGGCGAGGAGAUGAACCUAGGCGAGCAAAAUUGAGAACUCUAGCUAAAGCAGCUCCUGCCCAGCGGCGAGGACUUCAGCGGCAGCAACACCUGUGCAUGGGGAGGAACAGCCCCUGGGCGCGCGCAGGCAGCAGCUCGCCUCCACCAGCGGGCGACAGCAGAGCACCAGCUCGCCUCCACCAGCGGCCGGCAGCAGAGCAGCAGCUCGUCUCCACCAGCGGGCGGUAG